Molecule: long non-coding RNA, 1783 nt
Filed under: Mus musculus (house mouse)
Lineage: Eukaryota; Metazoa; Chordata; Mammalia; Rodentia; Muridae
Description: long non-coding RNA chr1:59983563-59985346
Source: RNAcentral
AGUCUGUUGAGUUGAUCUGAAGGGAGAAGGAGACAUUUAAAAGCAAGGGUUCUUGUUUUGUUUGUUUUUGAGAUGGCUUUUAUUAUGUAGACCAGGCUGGCCUGGCACUCAGAUGCCCCUCCCAAGUGCUGGGAUUAAGGGCAUGUGCCACCACACCAUGCUUGUCUUCUUUUUAAUUCUGUGGGUUUUCCCCACUUGAAUGCUGUUAAUUGAUGUUCUUUUUCCUUUAUCUUAUACCAUCUCAUCUCUCGAUUUACAAAUAGAGUUUACUCUGUAAUAGAUUUUUCCCUUUUCUGUUAUACUUGUUUGGCAGAUUGACACCUCUGCCUUUACAUCUAUCCUUGAAGUAACAGAGAGGGACAGGUUUCAGGUCAGCAUCUGCUCCUAGAAGUAGAACUUUAGUUUGAGGUUUGGUUGGAAGAAGAUUGUGAAUUUGCAAAUAAAUGAAUUAUAAGGUGACCAAACAUUCCUGAGAUCUAAAGAAAAACAAAAAAGGUCUAUGUCCAAAAAGAAAACUGCCUGGGCCAAAGGGCUAAUUUUUAAGCAUAUGAGCUUUAUUGCAGUCUUAACAUAUAUUAACCGUAGAUCCACCUAGCUGUUUUAUUUAACUCUUAAUUCCCAGGGGCUUGGUUUUAAAAGUGGGUCUACUCUUAGUAGAGUGGGCAUGAUUACAUUGACAAGCCACACUCCAUAAUUAGGUUAUUCUGUAGAAACUGUACAGCGGUAGAGUAGUUUCAAUGCAAAUACAGUUUUUUUCCAGUGCUGGGGAUCAAACCCAGGGCCUCAUGCAUGCUGAGCAAGUGCUGUGUCGCUGGCUUAUUUCCCCAGCUCCUAAUUUAAAACUUUAAUUAAAAAAAUUUUGUUCCAUUGCAGUAAAAGUGGGUGGCAUGUAUUUUUUGGCUAAGGGUGCUGUUCCCUGGUUCCUGGCCCAUCUUAGUUAUACUUGACCCUCAAGCAGUUUCCUCCCUGCAGUGAUUAUUGCUUCUGACACGGUAAGUCUGUUACUUAUCACUGGUUUAUGGGCAGUUGUGUUUAAAAAACUAGUAGUUUUGCUUUCUUUGGUUAAAUAUGGUAUGAAUGUCAAUUUUUUUUCCUAUACCAGAUCCUUCAUUUUGUUUACAGUGUUUCUUACUUAGACCUAGGACCAUAACCAAAUCUGCCUCUCUAUAGAUACUGUUGCUAAUUGGAGUGUAUCUGGCAACAGAGAAAGGCUGCUUUUUAUUUUUAUUUUUUAAUGUUUUGAUUAAAGAAACAGUUAGCUUUUCCUAGGAGAAGGUCUAAACACAGUGGCCCCAUGGAGAGCUUUCUCUGUCUGGGAUUGAACUGAGAUCCUGAGGUUUUCUUUUAGGAAACUAAAGUAAACUUGCCAUUACUAAAUUUGUAAAGUUGAGAUUCACUCCUUAAUGCUGGUGUGGGGGGUGUCAAACUGGACCAAUGGAAAUGCUGGAUUUGCUAAAUAAAGCCAAGAUGCAUAGCCCUGCACUUUAAGGUUUCUGGUUGCUCUGCCUUCAUUAGUGACCCUGCAGAGUGGCUCUGAACAGUACUUUGUUUAUACAGUCCUGUUGGAGAUAUAUAAUUUAUGUUUUUUAAACAGUGCAUCUUUGUCUCUGUUGAUGUAAAUUUUUUAAUGCAAUUUUUUAAAGUUACAACAAAAUUCUCCCCCAAAAACAGCAUUUCCAGUGAUGAUAAGUAUUGUUGUGGACUGUGUCCCUGAACCUGAGCACUUACUGCUUUGUCACAGGGAAUAGAACUUCCUAUGUUCAAAUAAAGUCUGUUGUUCUUG